RNAcentral lists this ribosomal RNA (465 nucleotides) under uncultured bacterium. RNAcentral's name for it is "partial 16S ribosomal RNA". It matches the Rfam family "Bacterial small subunit ribosomal RNA", at positions 35 to 507 of the family's 1533-position model. The record is from RNAcentral.
GGGGGGGGGGGGGGGGGGGGGGGGGGGGGGGGGGGCGGGCGGGGGGGCCCGGCGGGCGGGGGGGGGGAGUGGCGAACGGGUGAGUAACACGUGGGUGACCUGCCCGUAACGCUGGGAUAAGCCUGGGAAACUGGGUCGAAUACCGGAUAGGAGCGUCCCCCGCAUGGUGGGUGUUGGAAAGGUUUAGCGGUUGUGGAUGGACUCGCGGCCUAUCAGCUUGUUGGUGAGGUAAUGGCUCACCAAGGCGACGACGGGUAGCCGGCCUGAGAGGGUGACCGGCCACACGGGGACUGAGACACGGCCCAGACUCCUACGGGAGGCAGCAGUGGGAAUAUUGCACAAUGGGCGCAAGCCUGAUGCAGCGACGCCGCGUGAGGGAUGACGGCCUUCGGGUUGUAAACCUCUUUCAGUAGGGAAGAAGCGAAAGUGACGGUACCUGCAGAAGAAGCACCGGCUAACUACGUG